CGUACCCUAAACCGACACAGGUGGACAGGUAGAGCAUACCAAGGCGCUUGAGAGAACUAUGCUGAAGGAACUCGGCAAAUUGCAUGCGUAACUUCGGGAUAAGCAUGACUUCAUUCUGGGCAACCAGGAUGGAGUGGCACAGAAUUGGGGGUGGCGACUGUUUAUUAAAAACACAGGGCUCUGCGAAGUUGUAAAACGACGUAUAGGGUCUGACGCCUGCCCGGUGCCGGAAGGUUAAAUGGAGGGGUGCAAGCUCUGAAAUGAAGCCCCGGUAAACGGCGGCCGUAACAAUAACGGUCCUAAGGUAGCGAAAUUCCUUGUCGGGUAAGUUCCGACCUGCACGAAUGGCGUAACGAUCUCCCCACUGUCUCCAGCAUAGACUCAGCGAAAUUGAAUUCCCCGUGAAGAUGCGGGGUUCCUGCGGUCAGACGGAAAGACCCCAUGCACCUUUACUAUAGCUUUGCGCUGGCAUUCGUGUCGGCAUGUGCAGGAUAGGUGGUAGGCUUUGAAGCCGGGACGCUAGUUCUGGUGGAGCCAAAAGAUGAGAUACCACCCUUAUCGUCAUGGAUGUCUAACCGCGGCAUAACAGUGCCCGGGACAGCGCAUGGUGGGUAGUUUGACUGGGGCGGUCGCCUCCCAAAGAGUAACGGAGGCGCGCGAUGGUGGGCUCAGACCGGUCGGAAAUCGGUCGCUGAGUGCAAUGGCAUAAGCCUGCCUGACUGCGAGACUGACAAGUCGAGCAGAGACGAAAGUCGGUCAUAGUGAUCCGGUGGUCCCGCGUGGAAGGGCCAUCGCUCAACGAAUAAAAGGUACGCUGGGGAUAACAGGCUGAUACUGCCCAAGAGUCCAUAUCGACGGCAGUGUUUGGCACCUCGAUGUCGGCUCAUCACAUCCUGGGGCUGGAGCAGGUCCCAAGGGUAUGGCUGUUCGCCAUUUAAAGUGGUACGUGAGCUGGGUUUAAAACGUCGUGAGACAGUUUGGUCCCUAUCUGCCGUGGGUGUUGGAAUAUUGAGAAGAGCUGCCCCUAGUACGAGAGGACCGGGGUGGACGAACCUCUGGUGGACCUGUUGUGGCGCCAGCCGCAUUGCAGGGUAGCUAUGUUCGGACGGGAUAACCGCUGAAAGCAUCUAAGCGGGAAGCCUCCUUCAAAACUAGUAUUCCCUUGAGAGCCGUGGGAGACCACCACGUUGAUAGGCCGGAUGUGGAAGCGCAGCAAUGUGUGAAGCUGACCGGUACUAAUAGCCC
This 1245-nucleotide ribosomal RNA is filed under the name metagenome. RNAcentral describes it as "bacterial LSU rRNA". It matches the Rfam family "Bacterial large subunit ribosomal RNA", at positions 1643 to 2910 of the family's 2925-position model. The record is from RNAcentral.